Molecule: non-coding RNA, 97 nt
Filed under: Desulfosarcina cetonica
Lineage: Bacteria; Pseudomonadati; Thermodesulfobacteriota; Desulfobacteria; Desulfobacterales; Desulfosarcinaceae
Description: c-di-GMP-I
Rfam family: c-di-GMP-I-GGC riboswitch aptamer
Source: RNAcentral
UCAAGACAAAGCCAAACCUGUCGCGAGAUAGGGACGGAGAGCCACGGGUCUCAUAGGGGCACUCUUGAUACCUCAUAGAGAUAGCCGAGCUGCCUUU